RNAcentral lists this ribosomal RNA (253 nucleotides) under uncultured bacterium. Its description in RNAcentral is "partial 16S ribosomal RNA". It matches the Rfam family "Bacterial small subunit ribosomal RNA", at positions 524 to 776 of the family's 1533-position model. The record is from RNAcentral.
UACGUAGGGUGCGAGCGUUAAUCGGAAUUACUGGGCGUAAAGGGUGCGUAGGCGGAUAUAUAAGUUAGAUGUGAAAUCCCCGAGCUUAACUUGGGAAUGGCAUUUAAGACUGUGUGUCUAGAGUCUGUAAGAGGGGGGUAGAAUUCCGAGUGUAGCAGUGAAAUGCGUAGAGAUUCGGAGGAACACCGGUGGCGAAGGCGGCCCCCUGGUAUAAGACUGACGCUGAGGCACGAAAGCGUGGGUAGCAAACAGG